CCCUUAGAUGUUCUGGGCCGCACGCGCGCUACACUGAUGCAUUCAACGAGUCCAACCUUGACCGAGAGGUCCGGGUAAUCUUUGAAACUGCAUCGUGAUGGGGCUAGAUUAUUGCAAUUAUUAAUCUUCAACGAGGAAUGCCUAGUAAGCGUGAUUCAUCAAAUCGCGUUGAUUACGUCCCUGCCCUUUGUACACACCGCCCGUCGCUCCUACCGAUUGAGUGUGUUGGUGAGGAGUUUGGAUUGGCCUCGGAAGGUGGUUCGCCACCGUCCGUAGCUGAGAAGUUCUCCAAACCGCCCCACUUAGAGGAAGGAGAAGUCGUAACG
This 326-nucleotide ribosomal RNA is filed under the name uncultured eukaryote. RNAcentral describes it as "partial 18S ribosomal RNA". It matches the Rfam family "Eukaryotic small subunit ribosomal RNA", at positions 1470 to 1796 of the family's 1831-position model. The record is from RNAcentral.